UACGGAGGAUGCAAGCGUUAUCCGGAUUUAUUGGGUUUAAAGGGUGCGUAGGCGGCUUUUUAAGUCAGCGGUGAAAUUUUGCAGCUUAACUGUAACAGUGCCGUUGAUACUGCAUGGCUAGGAUUUGGUUGCUGUGGGUGGAAUGUGUGGUGUAGCGGUGAAAUGCUUAGAGAUCACACAGAAUAUCGAUUGCGAAGGCAGCUCACAAAGCCAAGAUUGACGCUGAGGCACGAAAGUGUGGGGAGUCAAACA
This 252-nucleotide ribosomal RNA is filed under the name uncultured prokaryote. Its description in RNAcentral is "partial 16S ribosomal RNA". It matches the Rfam family "Bacterial small subunit ribosomal RNA", at positions 524 to 775 of the family's 1533-position model. The record is from RNAcentral.